Molecule: ribosomal RNA, 836 nt
Filed under: Haptophyta environmental samples
Lineage: Eukaryota; Haptophyta
Description: bacterial SSU rRNA
Rfam family: Bacterial small subunit ribosomal RNA
Source: RNAcentral
GAGGAAUAAGCAUCGGCUAACUCCGUGCCAGCAGCCGCGGUAAUACGGGGGAUGCAAGCGUUAUCCGGAAUCAUUGGGCGUAAAGCGCCUGUAGGUUGUUUAGUAAGUCUGUUGUUAAAGACCAGGGCUUAACCCUGGGAAAGCAAUGGAAACUACUAGACUUGAGUAUGGCAGGGGUAGAGGGAAUUUCUAGUGUAGCGGUGAAAUGCGUAGAUAUUAGAAAGAACACCGGCGGCGAAAGCGCUCUACUGGACCAUUACUGACACUCAGAGGCGAAAGCUAGGGGAGCAAAAGGGAUUAGAUACCCCUGUAGUCCUAGCCGUAAACGAUGGAUACUAGAUGUUGCGCAAUUUGUGCAGUAUCUUAGCUAACGCGUUAAGUAUCCCGCCUGGGGAGUACGCUCGCAAGGGUGAAACUCAAAGGAAUUGACGGGGGCCCGCACAAGCGGUGGAGCAUGUGGUUUAAUUCGAUGCAACGCGAAGAACCUUACCAGGGCUUGACAUACUACAAAUCUUUUCGAAACGAAAGAGUGCCUUCGGGAAUGUAGAUACAGGUGGUGCAUGGCUGUCGUCAGCUCGUGUCGUGAGAUGUUGGGUUAAGUCCCGCAACGAGCGCAACCCUCAUUUUUAGUUGCCAAUUUAUUGGGAUUUCUAGAGAGACUGCCGGUGACAAACCGGAGGAAGGUGAGGAUGACGUCAAGUCAGCAUGCCCCUUAUGCCCUGGGCCACACACGUGCUACAAUGGCGAAGACAAAGAGUCGCAAACCUGCGAAGGCUAGCUAAUCUCGUAAACUUCGUCUAAGUUCGGAUUGCAGGCUGCAACUCGCCUACAUGAAG